This is a long non-coding RNA of Suricata suricatta (meerkat), 1334 nucleotides long. RefSeq lists it as uncharacterized. The transcript is spliced from 8 exons. Lineage: Eukaryota; Metazoa; Chordata; Mammalia; Carnivora; Herpestidae. The record is from RefSeq and is a predicted model, not a curated record.
CACAGUCACAACACCAGCAGUGCACCAGGACUCAGUCACAUUCAACAUAAAAGGAGGCUCCACUCAGAAGUCCUACCUACAGGAGCAAAGAUCAUCCCCCCCUGUCCUGAACUGGGCCCAGUUUUCUACUUCUAUGAUGUUAGCAGCUUCUCCUCUGAAACCUAACUGGCCAACAACCCAGCCUGGGGACAGAGACUCAGCCUCUACUCUAAGCAGUUACCAAGUUACCCGUCUGAAAGCAGACAACUUAUGGUCAGAAGGUCAACAGUGGCCUAACGCCACAUCACAAUAGCUACAUCCUUCACCUCACUUCAUAUUGUCACACAGGCAUUUGAUCACCUCCCGUCAGCACAAGAAAGGUACCAAAAGCCCUGCCCGGCACACAAUAAGCACCUAACGGGGAUCGGUCGAAGGAGUAAACUACUCUGUCCUGGGACUCUGUCUGUUAACACGAGUGUCAGAAGCAGCACCGAGAGUAGGACCGGGGUCCAGGCCAGGUUCUGUGCUGCGCACACGAGUGGAAAUCAGGGCGGCAAGCGUCCUCCGUUCGGUCACUGGUACCGCUUCCCGUCUGCUAAGCCUGGUGGUGGCGGUGCUGGUGUCUGCCCAGGAAAGCGAACCUUCCGAAAAGGAGUUCAGGAAGGUGAGCAACCAGAGGAAGACAGAAAGGGGAAAGUACGAACAUGGUCCCGCACUACCACAAGUUAUGCAGUCGAGUUUCCCGCAUUUGGGGAAGUCACAGGGCUCAGCACAUCCGAAGUACAACAGAGUAAGCCUCACCCUGGGAAAGCCACCUUCCUGGGUAGCUGGCUUCUCCCCUCGCAGGAGAAGAGGAAGGUAUUACUCUUCCAUGAAAUAAAGCAACCGAAGCCCUCAGAGGACAAAGUCGCUUGUGGCCAUGCUCUUUUCACCCAGCUCAUGGAGUCAAUCAAAGCAUCAACAGCAUUCAACUGAGCCUCUAAGACAAGGAUGAACAGAGCAGCACCAAGGAAAAAUGAUUACUUCCAUUGUCGUCCAGUAAAACAAAUGCUUUCCAUUCACAGGGGAGGUUUCAGGCACUGGCACAGCCACCACCAUCUUGAAGCUGACUUCUGCAGGGCCCACCUGGCCACUGGCAGGAGGUUGCACCUGUGUGUGUGAACAUUCAGUGAUCUUUAUUUGCUACUUCCAGCUACUGUCAAGACAGAUCACUUUGGCACACUGCAUACCUCUACAUAAGUAUCUACUUGGGACAUAUGCCAAACAGGCUUAAUGAUCCAUUUUCCAAUGGAGAAAAUGCAAAUAAAAAUAUACAAACACAAGGAAAAUAAAACAAUGCAUGUAAAGAUAUUUAA